GGCUCAGGAUGAACGCUAGCUACAGGCUUAACACAUGCAAGGUCGAGGGGAACGAUAUUGGAAGCUUGCUUCCGAUAGGCGUCGACCGGCGCACGGGUGAGUAACGCGUAUCCAACCUGCCCAUCACUUGGGGAUAACCUUGCGAAAGUAAGACUAAUACCCAAUGACGUCUCUAGAAGACAUCUGAAGGAGAUUAAAGAUUUAUCGGUGAUGGAUGGGGAUGCGUCUGAUUAGCUUGUUGGCGGGGUAACGGCCCACCAAGGCGACGAUCAGUAGGGGUUCUGAGAGGAAGGUCCCCCACAUUGGAACUGAGACACGGUCCAAACUCCUACGGGAGGCAGCAGUGAGGAAUAUUGGUCAAUGGGCGAGAGCCUGAACCAGCCAAGUAGCGUGCAGGAUGACGGCCCUAUGGGUUGUAAACUGCUUUUAUAAGGGAAUAAAGUGGGAGUCGUGACUCUUUUUGCAUGUACCUUAUGAAUAAGGACCGGCUAAUUCCGUG
Molecule: ribosomal RNA, 499 nt
Filed under: uncultured bacterium
Lineage: Bacteria
Description: bacterial SSU rRNA
Rfam family: Bacterial small subunit ribosomal RNA
Source: RNAcentral